AUGAACGCUAGCGACAGGCUUAACACAUGCAAGUCGAGGGGCAGCACAGGUAGCAAUACCGGGUGGCGACCGGCGCACGGGUGAGUAACGCGUAUGCAACUUGCCUAUCAGAGGGGGAUAACCCGGCGAAAGUCGGACUAAUACCGCAUGAAGCAGGGGCCCCGCAUGGGGAUAUUUGCUAAAGAUUCAUCGCUGAUAGAUAGGCAUGCGUUCCAUUAGGCAGUUGGCGGGGUAACGGCCCACCAAACCGACGAUGGAUAGGGGUUCUGAGAGGAAGGUCCCCCACAUUGGUACUGAGACACGGACCAAACUCCUACGGGAGGCAGCAGUGAGGAAUAUUGGUCAAUGGGCGCGAGCCUGAACCAGCCAAGUCGCGUGAGGGAUGAAGGUUCUAUGGAUCGUAAACCUCUUUUAUAAGGGAAUAAAGUGCGGGACGUGUCCCGUUUUGUAUGUACCUUAUGAAUAAGGAUCGGCUAACUCCGUGCCAGCAGCCGCGGUAAUACGGAGGAUCCGAGCGUUAUCCGGAUUUAUUGGGUUUAAAGGGUGCGUAGGCGGCCUUUUAAGUCAGCGGUGAAAGUCUGUGGCUCAACCAUAGAAUUGCCGUUGAAACUGGGGGGCUUGAGUAUGUUUGAGGCAGGCGGAAUGCGUGGUGUAGCGGUGAAAUGCAUAGAUAUCACGCAGAACCCCGAUUGCGAAGGCAGCCUGCCAAGCCAUUACUGACGCUGAUGCACGAAAGCGUGGGGAUCAAACAGGAUUAGAUACCCUGGUAGUCCACGCAGUAAACGAUGAUCACUAGCUGUUUGCGAUACACUGUAAGCGGCACAGCGAAAGCGUUAAGUGAUCCACCUGGGGAGUACGCCGGCAACGGUGAAACUCAAAGGAAUUGACGGGGGCCCGCACAAGCGGAGGAACAUGUGGUUUAAUUCGAUGAUACGCGAGGAACCUUACCCGGGUUUGAACGCAUUCGGACCGAGGUGGAAACACCUUUUCUAGCAAUAGCCGUUUGCGAGGUGCUGCAUGGUUGUCGUCAGCUCGUGCCGUGAGGUGUCGGCUUAAGUGCCAUAACGAGCGCAACCCUUGCCACUAGUUACUAACAGGUAAAGCUGAGGACUCUGGUGGGACUGCCAGCGUAAGCUGCGAGGAAGGCGGGGAUGACGUCAAAUCAGCACGGCCCUUACAUCCGGGGCGACACACGUGUUACAAUGGCGUGGACAAAGGGAAGCCACCUGGCGACAGGGAGCGAAUCCCCAAACCACGUCUCAGUUCGGAUCGGAGUCUGCAACCCGACUCCGUGAAGCUGGAUUCGCUAGUAAUCGCGCAUCAGCCAUGGCGCGGUGAAUACGUUCCCGGGCCUUGUACACACCGCCCGUCAAGCCAUGGGAGCCGGGGGUACCUGAAGUCCGUAACCGCGAGGAUCGGCCUAGGGUAAAACUGGUGACUGGGG
RNAcentral lists this ribosomal RNA (1444 nucleotides) under uncultured organism. RNAcentral's name for it is "SSU rRNA". It matches the Rfam family "Bacterial small subunit ribosomal RNA". The record is from RNAcentral.